Molecule: unclassified non-coding RNA, 419 nt
Filed under: soil metagenome
Description: partial contains 5.8S ribosomal RNA, internal transcribed spacer 2, and large subunit ribosomal RNA
Rfam family: 5.8S ribosomal RNA (bases 1-120)
Source: RNAcentral
GAUGAAGAACGCAGCGAAAUGCGAUAAGUAAUGUGAAUUGCAGAAUUCAGUGAAUCAUCGAAUCUUUGAACGCAUCUUGCGCUCCUUGGUAUUCCUUGGAGCAUGCCUGUUUGAGUAUCAUGAGCAAAUCUCAAAGUCAAUUCCUUUUGUUAAUUCAAUUGGUUUUGCUUUGGACUUGGAGGUCUUGCAGAUUUUCACAGUCUGCUCCUCUUAAAUGCAUUAGCUGGAUCUCAGUAAUUAUGCUUGGUUCCACUCGGCGUGAUAAGUAUCACUCGCUGAGGACACUGUUAAAAAGGUGGCCAGGAAAAUACUGAUUGAACCGCUUCUAACGGUCUAUUAAGUUAGACAAUUACCCUUAAGUUUGAUCUCAAAUCAGGUAGGACUACCCGCUGAACUUAAGCAUAUCAAUAAGCGGAGGA